Molecule: ribosomal RNA, 786 nt
Filed under: uncultured bacterium
Lineage: Bacteria
Description: bacterial SSU rRNA
Rfam family: Bacterial small subunit ribosomal RNA
Source: RNAcentral
UUAAAGGGAGCGUAGGCUGGAGAUUAAGUGUGUUGUGAAAUGUAGACGCUCAACGUCUGAAUUGCAGCGCAUACUGGUUUCCUUGAGUACGCACAACGUUGGCGGAAUUCGUCGUGUAGCGGUGAAAUGCUUAGAUAUGACGAAGAACUCCGAUUGCGAAGGCAGCUGACGGGAGCGCAACUGACGCUUAAGCUCGAAGGUGCGGGUAUCAAACAGGAUUAGAUACCCUGGUAGUCCGCACAGUAAACGAUGGAUGCCCGCUGUUGGUACCUGGUAUCAGCGGCUAAGCGAAAGCAUUAAGCAUCCCACCUGGGGAGUACGCCGGCAACGGUGAAACUCAAAGGAAUUGACGGGGGCCCGCACAAGCGGAGGAACAUGUGGUUUAAUUCGAUGAUACGCGAGGAACCUUACCCGGGCUUGAAUUGCAGAGGAAGGAUUUAGAGAUAAUGACGCCCUUCGGGGUCUCUGUGAAGGUGCUGCAUGGUUGUCGUCAGCUCGUGCCGUGAGGUGCCGGCUUAAGUGCCAUAACGAGCGCAACCCCUCUCUUCAGUUGCCAUCAGGUAAUGCUGGGCACUCUGGAGACACUGCCACCGUAAGGUGUGAGGAAGGUGGGGAUGACGUCAAAUCAGCACGGCCCUUACGUCCGGGGCUACACACGUGUUACAAUGGCCGGUACAGAGGGAUGGUGUAAUGCAAAUUGCAUCAAAUCUUGAAAGCCGGUCCCAGUUCGGACUGGGGUCUGCAACCCGACCCCACGAAGCUGGAUUCGCUAGUAAUCGCGCAUCA